GGAGGGGGAGCGGGGGAGGCGGGAGGAGGAUUCAUGGUAGGAACUUAACUGCCUCCAAUCCCUGGAUCUCUUGCACCUGCUGGAGAAGCCCAGCAUGCCCUCAGGAGGAGAGCCUGGAGGCCUGGUAAUCUCCACACCCACCUCUGGGGAAGCCUGGGCAGAGACUGGGCUUCCGGGGUGGAGCUCCCCCUCCCAGCUCUGCUACCUUAGGGGCAGACCCUGAGAAGACACACUUCCUGGGCCAGGCCCAGGGUCUGAAGAGCCAGUGGGGUGAGGGGACAGGUGGGCAGCCUGCCCUGAAAGCCCUAGGAUGGUGACUCAGAGAAGGAACUUCUGCUGGAAGACUCUUGAGCCGCAGCAGCCACUGGACCUGCUCACCCACGAUCACGCGGCAUUCUGGGUAUCUCCCUGCACAAGUCCUAGACAGGACAUCUACUUAUCAUUGAAAAGAAAAGUAACCGUGCUCCCCUGGCAUUCACAAAAGGCGUCCACUCAUUCAAGCAUUCGCCGACUCAUUCGAUCUGCAUUAUGGGGUCCCUGCGGCAUUAGAUUCCUGCAGCAUGACAUGUCUCAUCCUUACUGAGGCAACUGCACUCCAGGUGGGUGUGAAGAUGAAAGGAGUUCGUGUGAGCAGAGGGCACCAGGCCCAGUGCCUGCCCUGUGAUUAUUGCUCUGGGAAUAUUAGCUAUUACUCUGACCACCAGAAACCAUAUGGGCCAUGUCAUUACUUUGUGAUGUGUCUGCAAAUCCCCAAUUGAACUGCUAUACACUAAUGAUUCUAAACUUUAUCCUUUAUCUUCCCACCAAACCCCUGGCCUUUGUUGGGAAAAUAGAAGCAAUCAGGUAGAACUUUUCCAAUCACUGUUCUCUAAAUCUACAAGUUUCAACCUCCUCCUAUUUUAGAGGUAGUUGGUUUCUGGGGUUGUGCUCCUGACCACUGAAAUUGGAGGACAGUAGGAGUGGUUUCUAAGACUGGGAAAGGCUGAGCAUCCAUCCAACCAUCCAACCGCCCAUCCAUCCAUCCAUCCAUCCAUCCAUCAUAAAUACCUAGCAGGAAGGGGCCUGGAGCCUGGAGAAAUGUGAUUUGAAGAUGAAGAGAAGAUUGAGGUCUCAAGGGAUAACCAGGCUGGACUUCUUUUCUUUCUAAAUCAACACUCCCUAUGCCAUCUCCUGCCCGCCCACCCAAGUACAUGGAGUGGUCAAAGGUGGGCAGUGGGAGGACUGGACUGAAGGUCCCACUCUAGGCAUCCUGUCACCACCUGGGUAUGUGACGAAAGGCAAAAAGGCCAGUGAGGAGGCCGUGAAGAAAGCCUGAGGAAGGUGGUGGAGUGGGGGAUACACCUUCGAGCUUCUGUUACUCUCCUGGGCUAUGUGAGCAACUGACAGAACAAGAAAGGCCCGUGCACUUCCCCCAUCUCCAGGCAGGCUUCUUUACAACCCCAGGCAGACAGACAAACAGAUGGUGAUGUUUUCCUUUCCAGACAGCAUCCUCAGCAGCUGCCACUGACUCAGCCUCUCCACCUCUGUCUGGGUGCGGUAGGCAGGCAGCUUGAUCCCCAGGGUUGACAGUGUACGUGGCACGAGGUGUCAAGUCACAGACAUCUGCAGACGUGGAGACCUUUGAUUUUUGCCCAAGGCCCAGGACGUUUGCUUCAAGGCCAGGACUCUCCUUCACCUGUCACUCAGCCUCACCAGCCAGCUCUGGACCCCAACAACCAUCAGCCCCCUUCGUGGACAUGCAGAUGGAGAGUCCUUGGAGGCACAGCAGGUCUCAGCUGAAAGGGUGCUAGAGAUUGGCCAGCAUUCCCCCUUGAGGAGAAAAAAAAACCAUGUGUCCCUUCUGGAGAAACCUGGUAGUCCCAGGUGCAGCCCCUGCUGAACUAAGUAGGCAGAAAACCCCAGAUGCCCCAUAUUUCUGGUCAAAGAAAAUGCUUUAGUAUGUAGUAUUAAUACAUUUGCCUUUAUACCCA
This is a long non-coding RNA of Mustela lutreola (European mink), 1970 nucleotides long. RefSeq lists it as uncharacterized. The record is from RefSeq and is a predicted model, not a curated record. The transcript has 4 exons. NCBI's taxonomy places the organism in Eukaryota, Metazoa, Chordata, Mammalia, Carnivora, Mustelidae.